RNAcentral lists this transfer RNA (65 nucleotides) under Dipodomys ordii (Ord's kangaroo rat). It matches the Rfam family "tRNA". Rfam says of the family: Transfer RNA (tRNA) molecules are approximately 80 nucleotides in length. Their secondary structure includes four short double-helical elements and three loops (D, anti-codon, and T loops). Lineage: Eukaryota; Metazoa; Chordata; Mammalia; Rodentia; Heteromyidae. The record is from Rfam by way of RNAcentral.
GGUAGCUCAGUGGAAGAGUGCUUGCCUUGCAUGCAUGAAGCCCUGGGUUCGAUUCCUCAGUACCA